GACCGCGUAGCUCAGCUGGCAGAGCAUUGGGCUAGUAUUCCAAAGGUCGUAGGUUCGAUUCCCACUGUGGUCA
RNAcentral lists this transfer RNA (73 nucleotides) under Paramuricea clavata. It matches the Rfam family "tRNA". Rfam says of the family: Transfer RNA (tRNA) molecules are approximately 80 nucleotides in length. The record is from Rfam by way of RNAcentral. Lineage: Eukaryota; Metazoa; Cnidaria; Anthozoa; Malacalcyonacea; Plexauridae.